RNAcentral lists this ribosomal RNA (440 nucleotides) under uncultured bacterium. Its description in RNAcentral is "partial 16S ribosomal RNA". It matches the Rfam family "Bacterial small subunit ribosomal RNA", at positions 338 to 795 of the family's 1533-position model. The record is from RNAcentral.
CCUACGGGAGGCAGCAGUGGGGAAUAUUGCACAAUGGGGGGAACCCUGAUGCAGCGACGCCGCGUGCGUGAAGAAGUCUUUCGGUAUGUAAAGCUCUAUCAGCAGGGAAGUAAAUGACGGUACCUGACUAAGAAGCCCCGGCUAACUACGUGCCAGCAGCCGCGGUAAUACGGAGGGGGCCAUCGUUAUCCGGAUUUACUGGGUGUAAAGGGAGCGCAGACGGCUGUGUAAGUCUGGAGUGAAAGGCGGGGGCCCAACCCCCGGACUGCAGUGGAAACUGGAAAGCUAGAGUUCAGGAGAGGUAAGCGGAAUGUGUAGUGUAGCGGUGAAAUGCGUAGAUAUUAGGAAGAACACCAGUGGCGAAGGCAGCUUACUGGACUGCAACUGACGUUGAGGCUCGAAAGCGUGGGGAGCGAACAGGAUUAGAUACCCGUGUAGUC